RNAcentral lists this microRNA precursor (60 nucleotides) under Aedes aegypti (yellow fever mosquito). RNAcentral describes it as "Aae-Mir-1891-P2-v2_pre stem-loop". The record is from RNAcentral. Lineage: Eukaryota; Metazoa; Arthropoda; Insecta; Diptera; Culicidae.
UUGAGGAGUUAAUUUGCGUGUUUUUGUAUUUGAUUAAACACGUCCAUUAACUCUGGUACA